AUUGAACGCUGGCGGAAUGCUUUACACAUGCAAGUCGAACGGCAGCACGGGGGCAACCCUGGUGGCGAGUGGCGAACGGGUGAGUAAUACAUCGGAACGUGCCCAGUCGCGGGGGAUAACGUAGCGAAAGCUACGCUAAUACCGCAUACGAUCUACGGAUGAAAGCGGGGGAUCGCAAGACCUCGCGCGAUUGGAGCGGCCGAUGGCAGAUUAGGUAGUUGGUGAGGGAAAGGCUCACCAAGCCGACGAUCUGUAGCUGGUCUGAGAGGACGACAAGCCACACGGGGACUGAGACACGGCCCAGACUCCUACGGGAGGCAGCAGUGGGGAAUUUUGGACAAUGGGCGCAAGCCUGAUCCAGCCAUUCCGCGUGCAGGAUGAAGGCCCUCGGGUUGUAAACUGCUUUUGUACGGAACGAAACGGCUCUCUCUAAUACAGGGGGCUAAUGACGGUACCGUAAGAAUAAGCACCGGCUAACUACGUGCCAGCAGCCGCCGUAA
This 500-nucleotide ribosomal RNA is filed under the name uncultured bacterium. Its description in RNAcentral is "partial 16S ribosomal RNA". It matches the Rfam family "Bacterial small subunit ribosomal RNA", at positions 29 to 523 of the family's 1533-position model. The record is from RNAcentral.